This 443-nucleotide ribosomal RNA is filed under the name uncultured bacterium. RNAcentral describes it as "partial 16S ribosomal RNA". It matches the Rfam family "Bacterial small subunit ribosomal RNA", at positions 354 to 795 of the family's 1533-position model. The record is from RNAcentral.
GUGAGGAAUAUUGGACAAUGGAUGGAAAUCUGAUCCAGCCAUGCCGCGUGCAGGAAGACGGCCCUAUGGGUUGUAAACUGCUUUUAUACGGGAGCAAUAAGGUCUAUGCAUAGAUUGAUGAGAGUACCGUAUGAAUAAGCAUCGGCUAACUCCGUGCCAGCAGCCGCGGUAAUACGGAGGAUGCGAGCGUUAUCCGGAUUUAUUGGGUUUAAAGGGUGCGUAGGCGGCUUUGUAAGUCAGCGGUGAAAUUUUGCAGCUUAACUGUAAAAGCGCCGUUGAUACUGUGAAGCUAGGAUUUGGUUGCUGUGGGCGGAAUGUGUGGUGUAGCGGUGAAAUGCAUAGAGAUCACACAGAAUAUCGAUUGCGAAGGCAGCUCACAAAGCCAAUAUUGACGCUGAGGCACGAAAGUGUGGGGAUCAAACAGGAUUAGAAACCCCGGAGUC